GCUAGGCAUGGUGGCGCAUGCCUGUAAUCCCAGCUACUUGGGAGGCUGAGGCAGGAGAAUCGCUUGAACCCAGGAGGCGGAGGUUGCAGUGAGCGGAGACCCCGUCACUGCACUCCAGCCUGGGUGACAGAGCGAGAUUCCAUCUCAA
RNAcentral lists this signal recognition particle RNA (148 nucleotides) under Chlorocebus sabaeus (green monkey). RNAcentral describes it as "Metazoan signal recognition particle RNA". It matches the Rfam family "Metazoan signal recognition particle RNA". From Rfam's summary of the family: The signal recognition particle (SRP) is a universally conserved ribonucleoprotein. It is involved in the co-translational targeting of proteins to membranes. The eukaryotic SRP consists of a 300-nucleotide 7S RNA and six proteins: SRPs 72, 68, 54, 19, 14, and 9. The record is from Rfam by way of RNAcentral. Lineage: Eukaryota; Metazoa; Chordata; Mammalia; Primates; Cercopithecidae.